GAUGAAGAACGUAGCGAAAUGCGAUAAGUAAUGUGAAUUGCAGAAUUCAGUGAAUCAUCGAGUCUUUGAACGCACAUUGCGCCCCCUGGUAUUCCGGGGGGCAUGCCUGUCCGAGCGUCAUUGCUGCCCUCAAGCACGGCUUGUGUGUUGGGCCCCCGUCCCCGGUUUCCCCCGGGGACGGGCCCGAAAGGCAGCGGCGGCACCGCGUCCGGUCCUCGAGCGUAUGGGGCUUUGUCACCCGCUCUGUAGGCCCGGCCGGCGCCUGCCGACACCCAACUUUAUUUCUAAGGUUGACCUCGGAUCAGGUAGGGAUACCCGCUGAACUUAAGCAUAUCAAUAAGCGGAGGA
RNAcentral lists this unclassified non-coding RNA (348 nucleotides) under soil metagenome. RNAcentral's name for it is "partial contains 5.8S ribosomal RNA, internal transcribed spacer 2, and large subunit ribosomal RNA". The stretch from base 1 to 120 matches the Rfam family "5.8S ribosomal RNA", at positions 35 to 154 of the family's 154-position model. The record is from RNAcentral.